UACGGAGGAUCCAAGCGUUAUUCGGAUUUAUUGGGUUUAAAGGGUGCGUAGGUGGCCUGUUAAGUCAGGGGUGAAAGCCGGUAGCUCAACUAUCGCAGUGCCUUUGAUACUGAUGGGCUUGAAUACACUUGAGGUAGGCGGAAUGUGGCAAGUAGCGGUGAAAUGCGUAGAUAUGUCGCAGAACACCAAUUGCGAAGGCAGCUUACUGAAGUGUGAUUGACACUGAGGCACGAAAGCGUGGGGAUCAAACAGG
This 253-nucleotide ribosomal RNA is filed under the name uncultured bacterium. RNAcentral's name for it is "partial 16S ribosomal RNA". It matches the Rfam family "Bacterial small subunit ribosomal RNA", at positions 524 to 776 of the family's 1533-position model. The record is from RNAcentral.